AUGAACGCUGGCGGCGUGCCUAAUACCUGCAAGUCGAGCGAACAGACGAGGAGCUUGCUCCUUCGACGUUAGCGGCGGACGGGUGAGUAACACGUAGGUAACCUACCUAUAAGACUGGGAUAACUUCGGGAAACCGGAGCUAAUACCGGAUAAUAUUUCGAACCGCAUGGUUCGAUAGUGAAAGAUGGCUUUGCUAUCACUUAUAGAUGGACCUGCGCCGUAUUAGCUAGUUGGUAAGGUAACGGCUUACCAAGGCAACGAUACGUAGCCGACCUGAGAGGGUGAUCGGCCACACUGGAACUGAGACACGGUCCAGACUCCUACGGGAGGCAGCAGUAGGGAAUCUUCCGCAAUGGGCGAAAGCCUGACGGAGCAACGCCGCGUGAGUGAUGAAGGUCUUCGGAUCGUAAAACUCUGUUAUUAGGGAAGAACAAACGUGUAAGUAACUGUGCACGUCUUGACGGUACCUAAUCAGAAAGCCACGGCUAACUACGUG
RNAcentral lists this ribosomal RNA (496 nucleotides) under uncultured bacterium. RNAcentral describes it as "partial 16S ribosomal RNA". It matches the Rfam family "Bacterial small subunit ribosomal RNA", at positions 29 to 507 of the family's 1533-position model. The record is from RNAcentral.